Molecule: long non-coding RNA, 1865 nt
Organism: Oncorhynchus masou masou (cherry salmon)
Lineage: Eukaryota; Metazoa; Chordata; Actinopteri; Salmoniformes; Salmonidae
Exons: 7
Source: RefSeq, a predicted model, not a curated record
UAAAAAAAUGACAGAGACGCAAUUCACGGCACAAAUAGUUUACAAAAUGUUUAGAUAUAGGCUAUAAAAAUGGAUUUUAUCAAAGAAAACGGCACUUUAUUUGAUCAAUGGGAUACUCAGGAAGAGAAAUAAGAGCAAGAUAUCAGAAUGAGAAGUGGUGAUUUACAGAGGUCACCACGACCUAAGAAGACAUAGACAAGUGGAGACAGCAUUUCAUUGCAGAUCAAUAUGAAGCAGAGUUUUCCAACUGAGUACCACUGCCUCUGAACCAGCUGACUUCCACAUGCUUCCUGUUAUGUUCACACACUCGUAUUGGUCGCCAUCCUCUUCAGCCUACAGGAAACCAGAUCAGAGAUACCAUCAACAACAGCAACACAUAUUUUGCCAACAUACAGCCAAGAAGGAUAACGGGCUCCGUAUGGAUCCUGAACAACUUCGUUGGAGCAGAUGACACAUCCGAUAACACAGAUGCAAUUCUCCCGUUCUGCUCCAACGAGACCGACCCUGCAGAAUCAGGAACGGUGGAUGAAAAAAGUCACGCCCCCCACCCCUAAUUUGUCAGAACAGCCCUUGCCAAAAAAGCCAAGACUCCUCCCCGGCGUAUAACGGCACAGAAGACCACACACAUCUAGAGCACGCGGAGGAUUCCAGCUCACCGAACAUUCCCAAUGGAACAACCAAAACGGAAGAUUUCACAGUUUUAAAUGACAUUUCAGAGGCAGAUGACCGGCUAUUACGGGAUGCGGCCAACCUUCUUGAUUCCGCCAAUUCUUUGGUGGCAACAUCCGGAUCUGAAAUAGAACAAGCUAGGUUUUUCACAGCCUUUUCCAGGGCUCUAAAAUCCCAAAAUGUAUUGCCACACAAACAAAUGGGGGUUUUACUUGAGCGACAUUACAGAGAGGAUCAUUCUGGCAUAGAACAAUUCCACGUAUGUUAAACAGCAAUCCAAUUAAAAAACGCAAAUACAGGCGCUAAAAUCAUAUAUUUAACACGGACCAUUCCAGAAUAACCCAAGAACGCACAUCAUUAAUUAUCCAAAUGGCAGAGCCAACAGACCUAGUUGAGACAGUUGAAAGCCUCUUAUCACAGAUACCGCCUGAACUCCUAGAAAUUAUUAAUCAUAUGAACAAGGCGUGGGUAACAGACAUAAUACCGAUAGAUGAAAGUAUAUUAUCACAGAUUCCAGCCAAACUCCUAGAAAAUAUUAAACGUAUGAAAGAGUCAGGGAUGCCCGAUGAAAACCUGUUAUCACAGAUUCCCGAAUCCCUCAUAUCGCUAAUUAAUCAGAUGAACGACAUCUUCGGGCAUCCCCCCCCCCCAAACCAACCGUUAAUGCCCAUGUCAGAAGAGUCUGAAACGCAAUACAAUGUGUUUUGGGGGAAUUGGAAAAUUGUCUAAUAAAUCAGGAGGGAGAUGGUAUUGAUUGAAGUAUUCGGGUUGUGUACCAAAAUAAAUUAAACAAUACAGAGAUUCGACAGUUUUCAAUUUCACAUGGGUGAAUCAGAAUCUUGACUAUGCUGUGUUGUACGUAAUGAUGUUGGAUACUCUGACCGAACUGUUAGAUAGGGCAAGAGAUUAUGGCGAACCACAUGAUGUCUUACAGUUGGAAAUUUGUGGAGAUAGCCUGCAUAACACUGUAUCUCUUAUUUUACCCAAUGACAAAGUAGAUCUUGAACAAUUUAUCGCCCUGCUAGAAAGACUUGUUCAGUCAAAUAUUGGACCCUCGAGCUUGUAGUGCAAAUAAUAUGUCAACCCCAGGGUGGUGGGGGUCAGAGAAGGAAGCUAGAUAGCCUAAUGCAAUCAGAAAUAAUAAGCAAUAAAAGGGCCUACCUCAUAAACUCGUGUCGUUAUAACUGUUAAUUAUG